This 357-nucleotide long non-coding RNA is filed under the name Amborella trichopoda. RNAcentral's name for it is "long non-coding RNA (ATRI_LNC001645)". The record is from RNAcentral. Lineage: Eukaryota; Viridiplantae; Streptophyta; Magnoliopsida; Amborellales; Amborellaceae.
AAAAAAAUUCGAUCAUGGAUUAAAAAAAAAAAAUCACAAAUUUUCAAAAAAUUCAAUCAUGGAUUACAUAAAAUUCGAUCAUGGAUUACAUAAAAUUCGAUCAUGGAUUACAUAAAAUUUGAUCAUGGAUUACAUAAAAUUCGAUCAUGGAUUACAAAAAAAAACAAACAAAAAAAAACAAAAAAUUCAAUCGUGGAUUACAAAAAAAGAAAAAAACAGUUCGAUCAUGGAUUACAAAAAAUUCAAUCAUGGAUUACAAAAAACUCUAUCAUGGGUUACAAAAAAAGCAAAAAACAAAAAAUUCAAUCAUGGAUUACAAAAAAAAAAACAAACAUUUCGAUCAUGUAUUACAAAANN